This 429-nucleotide ribosomal RNA is filed under the name Pseudomonadota bacterium. Its description in RNAcentral is "Proteobacteria bacterium partial 16S ribosomal RNA". It matches the Rfam family "Bacterial small subunit ribosomal RNA", at positions 355 to 776 of the family's 1533-position model. The record is from RNAcentral. Lineage: Bacteria; Pseudomonadati; Pseudomonadota.
UGGGGAAUAUUGGACAAUGGGCGAAAGCCUGAUCCAGCCACGCCGCGUGUGUGAAGAAGGUCUUCGGAUUGUAAAGCACUUUAAGUUGGGAGGAAGGGCAGUAAGCGAAUACCUUGCUGUUUUGACGUUACCGACAGAAUAAGCACCGGCUAACUCUGUGCCAGCAGCCGCGGUAAUACAGAGGGUGCAAGCGUUAAUCGGAAUUACUGGGCGUAAAGCGCGCGUAGGUGGUUCGUUAAGUUGAAUGUGAAAGCCCCGGGCUCAACCUGGGAACUGCAUCCAAAACUGGCGAGCUAGAGUAGGGCAGAGGGGGGUGGAAUUUCCUGUGUAGCGGUGAAGUGCGUAGAUAUAGGAAGGAACACCAGUGGCGAAGGCGACCACCUGGGCUCAUACUGACACUGAGGUGCGAAAGCGUGGGGAGCAAACAGG